ACUAAUUCCUCCUGCAUGACUUGCAUUUACUCUCUGCUGUCCCACCUGAGGGGCUUGGAUCCCUGGCAGCUGGAGGACUUCAAACUAGCCCUGCAGUGCCCGGAGCUGCUGCCGGAGGGCGCCCGCAGGAUCCCCUGGGCAGACCUGAGAGCCGCGGGCCCCGCCGACCUGCUCUGCCUGCUGGAGGAGCGCUUCCCCGGGAGGCGGACGUGGGAGGCGGCCCUCCGCGUCUUUGAGGACCUGCGGCUGAGCUCGCUGUGCGAGCGGAUGCGAGCAGAGCUGCACGGUGAGCGGACGGCGGGCGCGCUGCGGGGCGUUUCCGGGCAGAAUCUCAGCAUCCCAUCCUGUUUCGUUUCAGAAAUGUCACAGGUGUGCAGACUCCAAGAUCCAAACCAGGAAGAACCAGAGACGCUGGAAGAGACAGCCCACAGAAGAAGAUACAGGGAGAGGCUGAGGACCCGGAUCCUGGCCCUGUGGGACCGCACGCCCUGGCCCGAGGACCACAUCUACCUGCGGCACGUGACGCAGCGGGAGCACGCGGAGCUGCGGGGCCUCCUGCGCCCGCGGGGGGCCGGGGCGCCGCCCCUCACCAUGCUGCUGGAGGGUGCGGCCGGCGUGGGCAAGACCACCCUGGCCACCAAGCUGGUGCUGCACUGGGCGGAGGGCGUCCUCUUCCGGGGCCGCUUCUCCUACGUUUUCUACAUCAGUGGCCACUGGCUGGCCAAGCUCGGCGACAUCAGCUUCGCUGGUCUGCUGGCCCUGGACUGGCCGGACUCGCAGGUCCCCGUGGAAGAGUUCAGGGCGCACCCCGAGCGGCUGCUGUUCGUCAUCGACGGCGCGGAAGAGGUGACCCUGGGCUCCAAGGGCUCGGCCAGCCGGCCCGGCGCCGACUGGUACCAGGAGCUCCCGGCGGCCAGCAUCCUAGUCCGCCUGCUGAAGAAGGAGCUGGUCCCCGAGGCGACCUUGCUUGUCACCGCUGGGCCCCCCGGAGGCUGCGCCCUCCGCGGGCUGCUGCUCAGGCCGUGCCGCGUGGACAUCCCGGGCUUCACCGAAGGGGACCGCCGGGAGUAUCUCAGGAGGUUCCUGGGGGACCCGGACGUGGCCGAGGAGGCCUGGCGCCGGAUGCAGGGGUCAGAGACCCUGGUCCGCUUGUGCGCCGCGCCGCUGGCGUGUUGGGCCGUGUGCGCCGGCCUCAAGCGGCAGCUGGCCGGCAGCCCGGCACCGGCGCCGGGCGCGCCCACCCCCACCGGCCUCUACGCCCGCCUCUUCUGCAGCCUCCUCGCUGGGGCGGAGCCGGGUCUGCGGACCGGCAGCUCGGCCGGACAGUGGAGGGCCUUCUGCUCGCUGGCCGCCGAGGGGCUGUGGCUGGCCGCCUUCACCUUUGCAGGAGACGCCCUGGAGCGCUGGCGCCUGGAAGCCCCUUUCAUCGACGGUCUGCUGAGGCUGCAGAUUCUUCGAAGGGUCAGCGAUUGUGAGCACUGCGUGACGUUUGCUCACCGGAGCUUCCAGGAGUUCUUCGGGGCCUUGUUCUACGUGCUCUGGGGGGCUCAAGGCUCGCUGGGCGGGGUCCCCCGGCAUCAGGAGAUGAGGCGGUGGCUGAACCACGCCUUUGCUGACGCCAACCCCUACUGGCGUCAGAUGGUGCGCUUUUUCUUCGGUCUCUUAGGAACAGACCUGGCCAGGCAACUGGAAGAGGCCGUGGGUUGCCGGAUGUCCCCCGGGGUGGCCGACGAGGUGUUGGACUGGGCGGAGGAGCUGGAGAGGUGCGGCGCCGUCUCGGGGCGCUUUGACUUCCUGUGGCUCUUCCAGUGCCUGCACGAGACCCAGGACGAAAACUUGGCCCGGCGGGUUUUGAAUCACCUCCCAGUGGCCGAUCUGGACAUUCAGGGCUGCGAACACCUCCGGGUCUCUUCCUUUUGCCUCAAGCACUGUCAGAAGUUACGAAAGCUGAGGCUCUCUGUCAGCCACCGUGUCCUGGAAAAGAAACGGACUUCCGGCCUGGGAACUCCGGAGGUUGCCGAUUUCCGGAUGCAUCAGUGGGAGGAUAUUUGCUCGGUGUUUUGCAGCGGGAACCUGAGCCAGCUGGACCUGAGUAACAGCAAACUUAGCACUGCCUCCAUGAUGAGACUCUGUCUCAAGCUGGGAAACCCACAGUGCAGACUUCAGAAACUGGCCUGGAAGUCCAUGGCCCCUGUGGAGGGUCUGAGGAAGCUUGGUCUUCUGCUUCGUGGUGACCGGCACCUGACCCACCUGGACCUGAGCUCCAACAGCCUGGACACCGCUGUGUCCAGGGGCGUGUUCAGAAUGCUGGGGCACUCAGCCUGUGGCCUCAAGUAUCUGUGGCUGGAGAAGGGGAACCUGUCAGCGGCCGCCUGUGAGGACUUGGCCUCACUUCUCACCAGCACCCCCCGCCUGACUCGACUGUGCCUGGGACUGAACCCGCUCGGAGAUGAGGGCGUGCAGCUGCUGUGUGGCUCCCUGACUCGGCCUGAGUGUGUCCUGCAGAGACUGGAGCUCUGGUGCUGCCGGCUCAGCACGCCCAGCUGCAGGCACCUGUCGGACGCCCUCCUCCGGAGCCGGAGCCUGACGCAUCUGAACCUGAGGAGGAACAGCCUGGGAGACGGGGGAGUGAAGCUUCUGAGCUCAGCCCUGGGCCGGAUUGAACCCAUGUCUCUUGUGUCUCUCUCCUUGGCAGGUGGCUUCUUUACCACUGAGCCACCUGGGAAGCCCUUCAGUAUGUGUCCCCCUAAAUUCUGUGUCCCUUUUGUCUGUAACUCCUCCAUCUUGGAGGACCAUCUUUCACGCUUCUGUCCCACCACCCCUAGGUUGGAGAAAUGCAGUUUGACGGCCGCUUGCUGCCGGCCACUGUCCUCUGUUCUCGGAAGCAGUAAAAGCCUGGAGAACCUGAACCUUUUAGGAAACGACCUGGGGCCAGACGGAGUCAGCAGGCUGUGGAUGCCCUUGAGAAAGCUGACGUGCAAGCUGCGGAAACUCGGGUAA
Molecule: long non-coding RNA, 3000 nt
Filed under: Bos indicus x Bos taurus (hybrid cattle)
Lineage: Eukaryota; Metazoa; Chordata; Mammalia; Artiodactyla; Bovidae
Description: lncRNA (ENSBIXG00005024108.1)
Source: RNAcentral